This 1335-nucleotide long non-coding RNA is filed under the name Capsicum annuum. Its description in RNAcentral is "long non-coding RNA (CANN_LNC003349)". The record is from RNAcentral. Lineage: Eukaryota; Viridiplantae; Streptophyta; Magnoliopsida; Solanales; Solanaceae.
GGCAUACCCCGAUGAAUAAGGACAAAUAGCCUCCGAACAUUCUCCGGCUAAAUGAAUACAUUUUUUAAUUUCCUGUAAUGAAAUGAAACAACUUCAAACACAAUAAUUCAAUCACUCAACAAUCAUCAAUUUCUAUAAUUUACCUGCCCCUAUCAUUUUCUUAUACAUUAUCGCCCUAAAAUAUGAUAUUAUCGAGCUCGAUAGAAUUAACAUUCAUUUCAAAUCCAACCACAAUUGAUGAAUCAAAGCACAAUAAUAUUCACUUUUAUCAAUUUUUAAGUUCCGCCCCUAAUUAAGAUUUGCCCUAAAACGAGUUUAAAUCAUUCAAUUACUCAAUUCAAAUGAAUCAAUCAACCAACAUCAACCAAUAUUUAUGAUCCAAAAAUUACAAAAUCACAUGAAACAAACUUCACACAAUUUGAAUUCUUCUCACAUAACAUCAAACAACAAAAUUAAAUGAGAAUGAGAUGAGAAAUGGACCUUAACAUCGCUUUCAAUUAAAAUUUCUUCUUCCGACUAAAACAGCGAUCGAAAUCUCAAACCAAACCUCAACGAACGAACAAGUCCAGCCUCUAUCUAACCAUUUUUUUCAAUUUUUCACCAAUUCAAACCAAAAUUGCAAAUAAACAAAAGACCCGAACCCGAAUUCAUAUCGAGACUAGUCUGUCUCAUCCGUUUUUGAUGGGUUUUUGGUGUGUUCCGAUGGACUGCUGUCGAAAAUAGAGCUGUGUCGGUCGAAGUUACUUCUUUUUGCAUCGCCGGAGCUCUGACGAGCCCAAGCAGUGGCAGAGAACAGAGAACGAGUCAAAUUUUCUGAUGGUUAUGGAGAUUUUGGUGAAACUUCACCGAAAAAUUAAAGACCAGCCUAUUUUCUCUUCUCCGAUUUGCAACUGUUUUCUAUUCUCCUUCUCUAUUUUUUUCUCUCUAUUUCCCUCUUCUUUCUCCUCUUAUUUUCUCUCUAUAAGUGUAUGUGUGCUCUGUGGAAGAUGAAUUCCCUUCUUUGGUAUUGUUGUACACCGUUGUGUAUAUGUGUGUAGAGUGUAUAUGUGAGUAGUGAGAAUCUGGUGAGAUGUGUGUAUGCCUAUAUUGUUGUGUGAGUGUGUGUAUCUAUACUGUGUUUGUUUUUCAGCCGGUGAGAAUGUGUUAAUGGCGUCUCCUCUCUGUUUUUUUUCAUGGAAAAUGGAGUCGGUGUGCGUGUAUUUCCAUAUGUGGGUGUGCUUAUAUGAGAGUGUGAUUAUGUUAGCCUCUGUGAAUUGUGUGAGGUGAAGCCGUUUAUAUGAGAGAGUGUGGGUCGUGUAUUGUGGGUGGGGUGGGUAUGUGGGUAGAAGGGGGUAU